Molecule: ribosomal RNA, 774 nt
Filed under: uncultured Neocallimastigales
Lineage: Eukaryota; Fungi; Neocallimastigomycota; Neocallimastigomycetes; Neocallimastigales
Description: partial large subunit ribosomal RNA
Rfam family: Eukaryotic large subunit ribosomal RNA
Source: RNAcentral
UAUGUGAUCGUCUCUCGCAUAUCAAUAAGCGGAGGAAAAGAAACUAACAAGGAUUCCCCUAGUAACGGCGAGUGAAGCGGGAAGAGCUCAAAUUUGAAAUCUUAAAGGGUUUCCCUUUACGAAUUGUAGUUUAAAGAAGUGUUUUCUGCUGAGGUUUUGGUAAAAGUUCUUUGGAAUAGGACAUCAUAGAGGGUGAGAAUCCCGUAUUUGACCUUUACUUUCAACUUUGUGAUACACUUUCAAAGAGUCGGAUUGUUUGGGAAUGCAGUCCAAAAUGGGUGGUAAAUUUCAUCUAAAGCUGAAUAUUGGCGAGAGACCGAUAGCGAACAAGUACCGUGAGGGAAAGAUGAAAAGAACUUUGAAAAGAGAGUUAAACAGUACGUGAAAUUGUCAAAAGGGAAGCGUUUGACACCAGUGUUGUUUUUCUGAAAAUCAAUUAAAGAACUGUUUAUGCUAAGUUGUUUAGACUUUAUCAGCUAACUGUUUAGUUUUGAGCUUUUCUUUAAUGCACUUUUCAGUUAACAAGUCAACAUCAAUUUCUUUUGCUGUAAAAAAGCUUGAGGAAGGUGGCUUGAGAUUCGUCUUAAGUGUUUAUAGCCUCUUGCCUAUGCAGUCGGAGAGAUUGAGGUCUGCAGCGUAGAUCCUUCGGGGCUAAAUGCAUUUGUGCUAAGUUAUAGCAUUUUAUAGACAACUUGUUGACUAUGAUUUGUCUUGUAGCUUACUCGCUUAUGUUAUUUUACCUACGCUUAGGAUGUUGAGUCGUAGAGCACGCAG